AUUGGUCACCUUCUGGGAGGAGACUUUUCUUUUUAGCGGUCGAGUUACUGGAGCAGACGACAGCAAGGCGGUGAGAGACGGAGAUGGUUUUGAUUGGCAGAUACGGAAACAAAAGACAACAUCCCUGACCUUUGACCUCACAUCGGAUCAGGAAUAACUGCCAAGAAAUAGAAAAAACCCUUUCAGGGGAAAAAAGGGAAGAAACCUUCAGGAGAGCAACAGAGGAGGAUUCCUCUCCAGGUUGGACAGAAGCAAUUCUUUCAAUUUUAAACGUCCUGAAUACUAUUCUUGUUAUUACUAAAACACAUAUUUCUCCAUCUGGAUCACGCUGAUGAUUGGAGUGACAUUGGAUGGCGAGCUACGAUUGGAUUAAGAGAAUCAAGUCCCGCCUCCUUGUGUGGUAGGAGUACGAACUUCUUUUCACAUACUCACAUACUACUCCUCCAAACUGAGUGAUAUUGUGGGUGCUCAUUAAUGGCCGCAUGCUCAAGGACCACUCGUGGUUGCAGUGCCGUUUGAUACUCCAACUGAUUGACUGCCGACUCCUCACUCACGACUCUUAACCGCAGGGGAGUAGUCGGAGAUCACACAGUGCACUGUUCGCACUGUUCGCACUGUUCGCACUGUUCUCACUGUUCACACUGGGAGUGCGUAGAAGGCCCGUUUCAAGGCACCCCGAGCACUCUUCUUUAUUUGGUAGGCCGCUCGUCACUUUUAAGUACGGACAGCUGUGAAGACAGCAGGCUGACGGUCAGCUGACCGGCAGCGGUUGGAAAAGUGAAAUGGGAAGAGGAAGAUACUGCGAGGGAAGAGAGACUCUGACUAAAUACACAAUCUAAACGCUGUAAACUAAGUCUGUGGCUUAAAAAAAAAGAAUACAGACAGUGUAAAAUAAACUCUCUCAUCUGUCUUUUAUUCCCUCCAUAUUGUUUUAGUUGUAAUUCCAACAGAGACAUUGGGUAUUUUCGACUGUGAAACACAAAAGAUAAUCACGUUAAGUCAGUCGAAAACAUUUUUCUGCCUCGUUUCUCCUUUUAAUCUUGCUGGAAGAAAAAAAUUAAAAUAAGAAGGAGAAAGAGAGAAAUCCCCCCCCCCCCCCAUGUGUGAUAAAAAUAUCAAUUCUUAUAUUUAAUUAAAACUUGACAUUUGGAACGCCUUCAGCUGACAAAAAGAUGACACAGAGCAGAGCCUCUCUACAGAGAGCCAAUAGGGCGGCUCGUUCACAUUCAGAUAAUCGCCCAAUAGCGAGCUCCAGUAGUCGGGUAGAGGAGCGGUUAUGAUCUGAUCUUGUUAACCCGAAGCUAUGUUUCUCUCUUUGUCUCCUUAGGAAACCUAGAACGCUCUACCCUCGGUCAGACUCUCUGGACCGAGGGCACAAAGGCAACAAAACAGGCUUGUUUAGUUUCCUGCUGUUUGCACGAGCUCUUCUACUUCAUUGUUGUUGGGUUUUAUUGUGUGUUUUUUUAUUGCAUUCGCAGGAACUGGAGAUUAGCUAUCUCCUCAUGUUCGCUGAAGCGGUUGCUUUUAUAUAUAUAUAUAUAUAUAUAUAUAUAUAUUGUGGCAGACCAGGGGGAAAAGCAGAGCAGACAAGGCCCAGGAGGCGGAUCCCAAAGCUCAGGUUGGGGGAAGUGAUCCACGGGGCGUACUUCCCAGUGCAGGUGCUACAGCCAAUUGGCACAUGGGAGUGGUCACACCUGCAGCCCAUCAGCUGAUGAGAGACAGAGACUAUAUCUACCCUCCACUGGAAGGCAUCAGGGGAGAGCAGCCUGAACAUUGGAACCUCAGGAGAGGAGCCGCAACAGACCGGAGGUAACUGGACCCUCUCUGCUCUGCACAUACAGGAGAUGGGAACCGUCUCACACCAGGUGUGAGACCAAAGACCCCGACCGGGAAGAAUCCUUUGUUGCCGGUAGAUGCCCAUUCCCCCCUUGUCCUAUACGUUUUAUUAAAAGACACUUUAUUUUG
This is a long non-coding RNA of Pseudoliparis swirei, 1965 nucleotides long. RefSeq lists it as uncharacterized. NCBI's taxonomy places the organism in Eukaryota, Metazoa, Chordata, Actinopteri, Perciformes, Liparidae. The record is from RefSeq and is a predicted model, not a curated record. The transcript is spliced from 2 exons.